Molecule: ribosomal RNA, 468 nt
Filed under: uncultured bacterium
Lineage: Bacteria
Description: partial 16S ribosomal RNA
Rfam family: Bacterial small subunit ribosomal RNA
Source: RNAcentral
GACGAACGCUGGCGGCGGGCUUAACACAUGCAAGUCGAACGGAAAUUCCCUGCUUUUUGGGGGUGCGCUAAUUGCGAACUGGUGAGUAACACUUGAGUAACCGGCCGUUGAGUGUAAGAUAACUUCAUACAACUUGGGCUAAGACGGGAUAGGAUCUCCUGCUGCAUGGUGGGGGUUGGAAAGUUUCGGCGGUUGGGGAUGGACUCGCGGCUUAUCAGCUUGUUGGUGGGGUAGUGGCUUACCAAGGCUUUGACGGGUAGCAGGCCUGAGCGGGUGACCGGCCACAUUGGGACUGAGAUACGGCCCAGACUCCUACGGGAGGCAGCAGUGGGGAAUAUUGCACAAUGGGCGGAAGCCUGAUGCAGCAACGCCGCGUGCGGGAUGACGGCAUUCCGGUUGUAAUCCGCUGUCGCCUGUGACGAAGCGUGAGUGACGGUAAUGGGUAAAGAAGCACCGGCUAACUACGUG